GAGGAAUAUAUUCUACGAACUACAUAACUUAAUUAAACCGCAUAUAUUUAAGCAAGAUACUAACUACAGGAGAUCUAUCUGUACCCAAGAGCGGCUAGCAGUAUGUUUGAAGUAUUUGGCGACUGGUUCAAAAUUUUCACAAAUAGCUGAAAAUUUUAGGAUUGGAAAAUCGACUGUUCCAAGAAUUAUAGAAGAUGUCUGCGAUGCCUUGUGGACAGUAUUACAACCUUUGGUUAUGCCAGAACUUAAUGAAAAUGAUUGGAAAAAAUUUUCAAAGCAAUUUGAAGAAAUCUGGCAAUUCAAAAACUGCGUCGGGGCCAUUGAUGGCAAGCAUGUGUACAUGUUUGCACCCCCAAAAUCUGGGCCUCAUAUUACUGUUAUAAACACAGGUUUUCAACUGUAAUGAUGUGCGUAGCCGACGCUACCCGAAGAAUAAUUAUGGUAGAUAUAGGUUCAAUGGGAAGGUUCAGCGAUGGUGGUAUUUUUGCUGAUAGUAUAUUCGGAAUUCGUUUGAGAGAAAACAGACUAAAUCUACCACAGCCACAACCCUUGUACCAAAAUGGAGAACCUGUACCGUUUGUUUUUAUUGGAGACGAAGCUUUCCCUUUGAUGACUAACUUAAUGAGACCAUAUCCACGCGAUAAUUUAAAUAACGAAAAACGAACAUACAAUUAUAGACUUUCAAGAGCUCGUCGUAUUGUGGAAGCUACAUUUGGUGUAUUAUCACGGAAAUGGUACGUAUACCGUAAAGAAUUUGAAUGUAAAAUAGAAACAGUGGAAAAAGUGAUAAAAGCAACGUGUGUUCUACACAACUUUUUAAUUGACAAGAUGCCUGGCUAUCUAGAUAAUAAUGAAACGGGUUUGGCCACGACUAUGCUUAACGACACAAACGUGGAAAAUCUAUUAUCGAAUGACAAUAUGGAUGCCUAUCAAGUUCGAGAAAAAUUCUGUAGUUAUUUCAACAACGAGGGCGCCGUUCCAUGGCAAGACACUCGUAUUACAACAUUACUUGAACGAAAUACUUAAUAUAAUAAAUUGCACUUACCGUCA
This is a long non-coding RNA of Colias croceus (clouded yellow), 1050 nucleotides long. RefSeq lists it as uncharacterized. NCBI's taxonomy places the organism in Eukaryota, Metazoa, Arthropoda, Insecta, Lepidoptera, Pieridae. The record is from RefSeq and is a predicted model, not a curated record. The transcript has 2 exons.